Molecule: transfer RNA, 72 nt
Organism: Camelus ferus (Wild Bactrian camel)
Lineage: Eukaryota; Metazoa; Chordata; Mammalia; Artiodactyla; Camelidae
Rfam family: tRNA
About the family: Transfer RNA (tRNA) molecules are approximately 80 nucleotides in length. Their secondary structure includes four short double-helical elements and three loops (D, anti-codon, and T loops). Further hydrogen bonds mediate the characteristic L-shaped molecular structure. tRNAs have two regions of fundamental functional importance: the anti-codon, which is responsible for specific mRNA codon recognition, and the 3' end, to which the tRNAs corresponding amino acid is attached (by aminoacyl-tRNA synthetases). tRNAs cope with the degeneracy of the genetic code in two manners: having more than one tRNA (with a specific anti-codon) for a particular amino acid; and 'wobble' base-pairing, i.e. permitting non-standard base-pairing at the 3rd anti-codon position.
Source: Rfam
AAGGGUAUAGCUCAAUGGUAGAGCGUAUGCUUAGCAUGUGUGAAGUCCUGGGUUCAAUUCCCAGUACCUCCA